Prosopis cineraria is the source of this 5997-nucleotide long non-coding RNA. RefSeq lists it as uncharacterized. The record is from RefSeq and is a predicted model, not a curated record. NCBI's taxonomy places the organism in Eukaryota, Viridiplantae, Streptophyta, Magnoliopsida, Fabales, Fabaceae. The transcript is spliced from 3 exons.
CGCUUGUAGGUGCGUAAGUAGCUCGAAUGGCCCCCCAUUGGGGAGUAAUGAUAUUCUUUGAGGAGCAAAGGAAUUCUGGUGGACUCCUUUGGUAGAACUAACCUCUCCUUGUAGUGUAGAUAGCCAUGUAUCAAGCUAUACCCUUCUACCCCCUCUUUAUCGGUAAUGAGUUGCUGCAAAUUUUGCUCAAUUUCGGAUCAGCUAGUACCUCUCUUUCUUUCCCAUUCUUCCACAUCAUCAUACUGCCAUAAUGAAAAUCCCAUUAGUUCAAGUGACUCGUCUUGCCUAGUAGAGCAUAAGCAGCCCUAUUCUCCUUCCCGGGCUUCUACGCAAUUUCAAAUUUGAAUCCCAUCAAUUUGGAGACCCAUUUUUGCUGGUUUUCAUCAACUACUCUCUGCUCCAGCAGGUAUUUCAGAGCCUUUUGAUCAAUGCGGACUUAACUUAAUCUGCAAAUUUUCAGCAAUAAAGUUAUGGGUGGCACCACUGUCAAUGAGAAUGAUUAUAUGUGUGUCUCCAAUCUUCCCCUUGACUUUCAUGGUGUGGUUAUCACCAAACCCAGCCAAGAAAUUAAGAAAUAAUUCCAUCUGUAUACCGUCCUCAGUAGGUUCAGGAUAUCCACCGUCAAUUUCGAGUGCUGUAUCAUCUUCUUCGCCUUCUGUGUUGGCUCCUAACUCCAUUAUCAACACUUGAAGGUUCUUAUUUUUACAUUGAUGAGUGGGGCUGUAUUUGUCGCCACAUUUGAAACAAAGCCCAAACUCUCUGCGUCUUGCAAUUUCAGAAUUAGGGAGUCGGCGAGAAUUUCCUCCUCUCCUUGCUGUGGUUCCAGAAUUCGUGCUGCUCCUGGUCUUUGAAGGCUCUGUUCUAGCGUUGUUUUUCUUCGUACCAUCUGCGAGAGAAGACAUAACCACACUGGCGUUCCUUCCUCCCUCAGUCACGUGAGUCACGCGUGGAAAAUAAGUGACCUGGGUCGAAUCAAGUUUGGAUCCGAAAUGGGUCCGCUGAACUCGGGUUCCUCUCGUGUCUCUGCAGUCAUCCGGCAUCCGAUUUCUUUCUUCAAUACAUACUGCCAUUUCCAUCAGUUCCCGCAGCAUAGCCUUCGUCACCUUCAGCUCAGCCCUAAUCUCUGUCUUGAGUCUAGACCUGAAUGCACCGAUCAAACACUCCUCGGAAGCUUCCUUCAAUGGCGCCGAUAGUAGUUCAAAUUCCUCUACAAAUUCUAGCACAGACUUCUCUUGCUUAGCUGUAAAUAGUCGCUCAUACUCACCACCGGGUUGUGAAGAGUGGAAUCGCCAUAGCCACGCCCUUUUAAAUUCUGACCAGUUACUCAAUGGUACUCGCGUAUCAAGCCACUGGUACCAGUUUACUCCUUUUCCUUCCAAACAUACUAAUGCUGCUUCGAGCUUCUUAUGUUCAACUAUGGAGUUGACGUGAAAGUACCGUUCCACUCUGAAAAGCCACCCAAGAGGAUCCUCGCCUGAGAAUACAGGUAGUUCCAAUUUCCGAAACUUACCUCCUUCUGUCCCACCCCUUGUAUUAUUCUCAGAAGAUUCUGCAUGAUGAGUGCCUUCUUGUUCUUCCUCAUGUGGCCUUGCCACCUUCUUUUCUAGUUGUGCCAGAGUAUCACUAAUAGUUUUCAAGGUUCCCUUGAUGUCACUAACAUCCCUAUUCAAUACUCCGAUUGCCUCCUUCAACUCUUGUACUUCUCGCUCAGAAUACUGCACUUCCUCCGCCAUAACUUCUCUUAACUACCUAGAAUUCGUAUUGCUCUGAUACCAAUUAAUAAGACGCAAACCAAUAUUUCCACAGAAACAGCAACAAAGACAGUAAUAACAAUAAAUGAAGGGAAAAUGCUGAGGUUUUGAUAUUAAUAAAUUGAGAGAACCGAAUCAGAUUUACAAGUCUUCCUCUGAUUCUAGCCAAAGCCCUAUCUCCCUUGAAUGAUCACAAAAGUAACAACAUUUCAAGCUCAAACCUCACAAGAGGGUUCACUCCUUCGGGCAUUCAAGAGGCCAGUCUCUCCUCUCCAUUCUCUUACAAAAGAUACCCCCUCAAUACAAGCAAAAAGAUAAAAUAUAACCACAGCAUGGACAGCAUGGCUUUCCCCUUAGCCCAUACCUCCCAAAUGAUCUUAAUUAUGGCAAAAGAUCACAUGCUACUGUUCCUUACAGCUAGAGACCGAAGGAUAAACCUCUGGACCAGUCGUUAUUAUUCUACUAGAGUCGUUCUUUCCCUUUGACUUCCUUUGAUAUGUCUUAGUAAAAUAAUGAGGGGUUCUAUCAAAAUACUACUUCCUUCCUUAACAAUUUGUUCUUUACUUUGAUCAUCAAGCGCUUAAGUUUAUCAACUCUCAACGUCACUUAAAUGCUAAACAUGCUAAAUGGGUUGAGUAUAUUCAGGGAUUCACUUUCAUAGUCAAGCAUCAUUCAGGAACAAAAAACAAAGUGGCUGACGUUUUGAGCUGAUGGAUCAACUUGUUGCACACUAUGAGCGUUAGUGUUGUUGGCUUUUAAAACCUAAAGGAAGACUAUGCUUCAUGCCUAAAUUUUGGGAUAAUAUAUCAAGAAGUUAACAAUGGUAACCGUUAUGAGCAUUUUGAUUUCAUCCUUAAAGACAUUCAUCUCUGUCAUGGAAGCAAACUGUGCAUCCCACGUGCAUCUAUGCACGAUUUUCUUAUAUAGGAGUUAUAUGCUAGAGGUUUAGCCAGUCAUUUCGGGGUUAAUAAGAAAAUAGAAUUAGUCGAAGAGAAGACAGGUUCUAUUGGCCUUCACUCAAGUGUGAUGUAGCUCACGUAGUGUCUCAAUGUUGAACUUGUCAAACUUCUAAAGCUGGACAGUUGAAUACCGGUUGGUAUACUCCUUUGCGAAUCCUUGAGGCAACUUGGAAAGACUUAAGUAUGGAUUUUGUCUUGGUAUUACCUCGAACAGCCAAAGGUCAUGACUCUAUAUUGGUUGUUGUGGAUAGAUUUUCAAAGAUAGCUCACUUUAUUUCUUGUAGCAAAACUACAGAUGCUUCACAUUUGGCGAAGUUGUUCUUUAAGGAGAUUGUGCACUUGCAUAGGUCGCUUGCUACUAUCGUAUCUGAUAGGGAUGUUAAGUUUGUUAGUUACUUUUGGAAGAUCCUCUGGAAACUUUUUGGUACCCAGUUAAAGUUCUCUUCUGCUUUCCACCCCCAAAUUGAUGGGCAAACUGAAGUUACUAGUCAAAGUCUAGGUAAUUUGCUUUGGCGUUUAAUUGGAGAUUUGGUUUUACUCACUGUUGAGUUUGCAUAUAAUAAUUAUGUGAAUAGGUCUACAGGAAUGAGUUCCUUCCAAAUUGUUCAAAGUUUUAAUUCUAAAUAGCCUAUUGACCUUAUGCCAAUCCCAUUGACAUUUCGCAUCUUUAAAUUUGCCGAAUCUUUUGCCAAUCACCUUCAUGAAUUACAUGCUAACAUUAAGCGUAAAUUAGCAAUGAGCAAUGAUCAAUAUAAAUUAUCUACCAAUAGUCAUUGCCGAUUUCAAAGCUUUACUACAAGUGACUAUGUUAUGGCUUAAAUUCGUCUAGAAUGUUACCCUCAACAUGCUUUUAAAAAAUUGCAUGCUCGAGUUUCUAGACCUUUUCGCAUUGCAAAGCAAUUAGAGCCUAAUUUUAUCUUUUAGAAUUACCUCAUGAUAUGGCCAUAAGUUUAGUUUUUAAUGUGGAGGAUCUUAUGCUUUACUAGGGAACUUUUGAGCCUCUCCCUUUGGUUUUUGAUGAUCUGCAAAUACUUGGCCUUUACUGGUGCCAAUUCUAUCAUUGCUAGCUAUCUUACUAUCAGUUGACAAAAUUGAGACCAUUAUGGAUGAUCAAAUGGUCUUUACCUCUAAGGGGCCCCUUCAUCAUUAUUUGGUUUGUUAGAGAGAUCGUUCGGAUGAAGAUGCCAUUUGGAUUUCAGAAGAUGAAUUCCAACAACUUAAUCCCGCCCUGUUGGAAGCCUAUCAACUCUCUACCUCUCUAGAGGAGAGUUCUUUAAGGCGAGGGGGAAUUGAUAGAAAAUGUGGCAAACAUUACUUUAGAAGGAAAUAGUUUAUUAGUUUUUUAUUGCUUUUCAUAAGUUUAUUAGUUUUGUUGCUUUUCAUUUAACUUUUGUAAGUUUCCUUCUUGUGAAGGAAACCAGACAGCAAGUGGGUAGAGAUUUCCUUGUUAGGGUGACUCAUGUAGUCAGAAGGAGAUUUUCAAUGAAUGAAUUCAUUUGAGAAAUUUUGAAAGCUCUCUCCCUCCAAUGUGCGUUCUCUUCCUCUUAGUUCCUCCUCCCUCUUUGUUCUGUCCUUCCUUUUCUCUUCCCCCCUCUCUGUUCUCGUCUCCCUCUCCCAUCUAAGUCUCUGUUUCUGUCCCUACUCUCAUGUCCUUUCUGUCUGAGCUAAUUUGAGUGUGUGCGUGUGUGUUUUGCAUCAGAGAUGUUUUCCAUGCUCAAUGCUGGGUUUUGCCUCAAUCACUACACUUAUUCAUGGAUAGUAGAUGGUUACUGCAAGAAAGACAAUGAAGAGGCUGUUGUUACACUCCCAGAUGAGUUUCUUAGAAAAGGUCUUUGCAUUGAUGUUUCAUAUUCAGGGCAUUAAUAAGAAGGUUAUGUAAGUUAGAAAGGAUACAAUGUGCUCAGAAGUUAUUUGAUCUUAUGGAAGGAAGGGGUAUAUCAGGCGAUUCUUGCUUAUGCGUAUUGGAACAUGGAAUGCAAAGGUUGCAAAUAUAUUCGAAGAGAUGACUAGGAGGAGGUUGAUGAUAACAAGCAAAAUCUAUAAAUCUUUUGCUCAGGCACCAUACUCGUGGAAGCUCCCAUCUCCUGGUCAGUCGUAAGUCGCUCUCCUGGUCACUCAUAAGUCGCUCCCAUCUCCUGGUCUCUCAGGUUUUCUUUUAUUUUAAACCCUCUGUCGUGAAACUUGGUGGCAUGCAUUGUUCUUUCAAGUUCUGUCUUUAUUCUUGUUUGUGCUGUUCUAUUCUGAGGAUCCAGUCAAUCAAGGCAGGCUCUGUUCUGUUUCUAUUUCCCCAUUUUGUUUCUGUUUUGAUGAAAUUUUCUAUCAUUUAUAUUCCAACGUAUUCCCUUUUGGUCUUUCUGAUGAUGUAGCUGUUCAAAUUUUUUAGGGAUGUUUUCAACAGUUUUCUUCUUUUUUGUUUUAUAUGUAAGGGUUAACUCUUAGUUUUUAUUCUUUUCGUUUGUGAUUCUAAACAAGAUUUAGUUUUUUUCCUCAAAAUUUCUCGAGUCCUGGCUUGAUAGUGAUAUUUGCCUUUAUUCCAUAAAAAAAGUUUUAUGUAUUUUUGUUAAGCCUGAAGCAAAUGACAUAUACGAAUUGAGGAGGAAAAGAUCCCCCAACUUUGCAACGAAAAUGAAAAUCCAGAUGCAGCCUGGUAAAGUGGUACGCUACUGUGAUGUUAUUUUGCAGAAUUAUUCUCCCAAUAAUAUGAAUUGGCGUUUUAGUUUGUGCAGUAUAUGCCUGAUCGUUUUCAGAUGGAAAAGGUUAUUUACCUUGAGCCUGUGAACAUAGUUUUCGAAAUGCGGAGCUGGAGAGGAUUGUUGAUUAGGAUUUGUCACGUUUAUACCCGGAGCAUGGCGCUUAUUUCCAAACACUAGGAUGUCAAAUCUUGUUAAGACGGAUCUUAUUACUCUGGUGUGUCAAGCACCUAUGCAGAGUGUGAAUAUAGACAAGAUUUGGAACUUUGGAGGGGCGGUGAAUAUUUUUCUGAGCGAUAUUGAAGAGUAUGACUGCAAAUUAAGGACAAGCUCAAGUAAAUUCACGUGUUAUUACAAGUUAUCUUCUGUACAAAACGUGAUUUAGUUUGAUCUGAACAUAUGAUUUAUGGAGGUGAUUGACCUUGUUUCUGGCUUAUGUUGUUAUUAGUGUUCUGGAUUUAUGAUUUUCUACUUCUGUUAAGUGUUUUGGAUGUCUUUAGUUUAUUGUACUAUUUUGAGACAAAUUUAGAGAUUGUGAGUUCACAUCAUUGUUUUUCGAGACUAUUCUGGAUAUGGUCUUACAUUAUGAUUUCUCAA